Molecule: ribosomal RNA, 699 nt
Filed under: Stenotrophomonas maltophilia
Lineage: Bacteria; Pseudomonadati; Pseudomonadota; Gammaproteobacteria; Lysobacterales; Lysobacteraceae
Description: partial 16S rRNA
Source: RNAcentral
UGGUCCAGGUAGCUGCCUUCGCCAUGGAUGUUCCUCCUGAUCUCUACGCAUUUCACUGCUACACCAGGAAUUCCGCUACCCUCUACCACACUCUAGUCGCCCAGUAUCCACUGCAGUUCCCAGGUUGAGCCCAGGGCUUUCACAACGGACUUAAACGACCACCUACGCACGCUUUACGCCCAGUAAUUCCGAGUAACGCUUGCACCCUUCGUAUUACCGCGGCUGCUGGCACGAAGUUAGCCGGUGCUUAUUCUUUGGGUACCGUCAUCCCAACCGGGUAUUAGCCAGCUGGAUUUCUUUCCCAACAAAAGGGCUUUACAACCCGAAGGCCUUCUUCACCCACGCGGUAUGGCUGGAUCAGGCUUGCGCCCAUUGUCCAAUAUUCCCCACUGCUGCCUCCCGUAGGAGUCUGGACCGUGUCUCAGUUCCAGUGUGGCUGAUCAUCCUCUCAGACCAGCUACGGAUCGUCGCCUUGGUGGGCCUUUACCCCGCCAACUAGCUAAUCCGACAUCGGCUCAUUCAAUCGCGCAAGGUCCGAAGAUCCCCUGCUUUCACCCGUAGGUCGUAUGCGGUAUUAGCGUAAGUUUCCCUACGUUAUCCCCCACGACAGAGUAGAUUCCGAUGUAUUCCUCACCCGUCCGCCACUCGCCACCCAGAGAGCAAGCUCUCCUGUGCUGCCGUUCGACUUGCAUGUGUUAG